This 497-nucleotide ribosomal RNA is filed under the name uncultured bacterium. Its description in RNAcentral is "partial 16S ribosomal RNA". It matches the Rfam family "Bacterial small subunit ribosomal RNA", at positions 28 to 507 of the family's 1533-position model. The record is from RNAcentral.
GAUGAACGCUGGCGGCGUGCCUAAUACAUGCAAGUCGAGCGAACAGAUAAGGAGCUUGCUCCUUUGACGUUAGCGGCGGACGGGUGAGUAACACGUGGGUAACCUACCUAUAAGACUGGGAUAACUUCGGGAAACCGGAGCUAAUACCGGAUAACAUUUGGAACCGCAUGGUUCUAAAGUGAAAGAUGGUUUUGCUAUCACUUAUAGAUGGACCCGCGCCGUAUUAGCUAGUUGGUAAGGUAACGGCUUACCAAGGCGACGAUACGUAGCCGACCUGAGAGGGUGAUCGGCCACACUGGAACUGAGACACGGUCCAGACUCCUACGGGAGGCAGCAGUAGGGAAUCUUCCGCAAUGGGCGAAAGCCUGACGGAGCAACGCCGCGUGAGUGAUGAAGGGUUUCGGCUCGUAAAACUCUGUUAUUAGGGAAGAACAAACGUGUAAGUAACUGUGCACGUCUUGACGGCACCUAAUCAGAAAGCCACGGCUAACUACGUG